UACAGAGGGGGCAAGCGUUGUUCGGAAUUACUGGGCGUAAAGGGCGCGUAGGCGGCCUUCUAAGUCGAACGUGAAAUCCCCGGGCUCAACUCGGGAACUGCGCUUUAAACUGUCUGGCUAGAGUAUGGGAGAGGUAAGUAGAAUUUCCAGUGUAGAGGUGAAAUUCGUAGAUAUUGGAAAGAAUACCAGUGGCGAAGGCGGCUUACUGGACCAUAACUGACGCUGAGGCGCGAAAGCGUGGGGAGCAAACAGG
This 253-nucleotide ribosomal RNA is filed under the name uncultured bacterium. RNAcentral describes it as "partial 16S ribosomal RNA". It matches the Rfam family "Bacterial small subunit ribosomal RNA", at positions 524 to 776 of the family's 1533-position model. The record is from RNAcentral.